This 449-nucleotide ribosomal RNA is filed under the name uncultured bacterium. Its description in RNAcentral is "bacterial SSU rRNA". It matches the Rfam family "Bacterial small subunit ribosomal RNA", at positions 329 to 795 of the family's 1533-position model. The record is from RNAcentral.
GGCCAGACUCCUACGGGAGGCAGCAGUGGGGGAUAUUGCACAAUGGGGGAAACCCUGAUGCAGCGACGCCGCGUGGGUGAAGAAGCGCCUCGGCGCGUAAAGCCCUGUCAGCAGGGAAGAAAAUGACGGUACCUGAAGAAGAAGCCCCGGCUAACUACGUGCCAGCAGCCGCGGUAAUACGUAGGGGGCGAGCGUUAUCCGGAUUCACUGGGUGUAAAGGGAGCGUAGACGGCCAUGCAAGCCAGGGGUGAAAGCCCGGGGCCCAACCCCGGGACUGCCCUUGGAACUGUGCGGCUAGAGUGCGGGAGGGGCAGGCGGAAUUCCUAGUGUAGCGGUGAAAUGCGUAGAUAUUAGGAGGAACACCAGUGGCGAAGGCGGCUUGCUGGACUGUAACUGACGUUGAGGCUCGAAAGCGUGGGGAGCAAACAGGAUUAGAUACCCUCGUAGGC